This 234-nucleotide ribosomal RNA is filed under the name uncultured bacterium. RNAcentral describes it as "partial 16S ribosomal RNA". It matches the Rfam family "Bacterial small subunit ribosomal RNA", at positions 15 to 240 of the family's 1533-position model. The record is from RNAcentral.
GAUCCUAGCUCAGGAUGAACGCUAGCUACAGGCUUAACACAUGCAAGUCGAGGGGCAGCAUGAACUUAGCUUGCUAAGUUUGAUGGCGACCGGCGCACGGGUGAGUAACACGUAUCCAACCUUCCGUUUACUCAGGGAUAGCCUUUCGAAAUAAAGAUUAAUACCUGAUAGUAUGGUGAGAUUGCAUGAUAGCACCAUUAAAGAUUUAUUGGUAAACGAUGGGGAUGCGUUCCA